This 37103-nucleotide long non-coding RNA is filed under the name Vitis vinifera (wine grape). RNAcentral describes it as "long non-coding RNA (VVIN_LNC000588)". Lineage: Eukaryota; Viridiplantae; Streptophyta; Magnoliopsida; Vitales; Vitaceae. The record is from RNAcentral.
CCUUUUUUACUGGUUGUCUUAAGCAGGUUAUCUAGAGGUUUUGCAUUUGUUAAGUUCACAAGCAAGCAAGAUGCAGAAAAUGUGCGGUUUGUAAUCUACUCAUUAUGUUAAAAGUAAGUGAAGUUUUCGGGUUUUGUGGGGUCACUUACUUUUUCAUUUUCUUUUCUUGUUUAUUUUUUUUCCUUUCCAGGCAAUCCAGAAGUUCAAUGGGGAAAAAAUUGGUAAAAGACCCAUAGCUGUUGACUGGGCUGUUCCAAAGAAAAUUUAUAUCACUGGUGCUAAUCCUGUUGUUGCAUCAGAAGAUGGUAAUUGUGACCCUUUACUGUAUUCUAAUUCUAUUCUCUUCUAAGGACACAUAAUGUAUUUUUGUUACCUUUUCUUCCUUGUCUGUAUUGUUUGAUGCAAUUGUGUGCUAUUUACUUCUCAAGAAAGGAAGAAGAUAAGGAUAUUCUUCUUGUUUAGGAUUCUCCAUGUUUCCGUCUCUUGUAUUGGUUAAUGCCAUUGUUCUUUACUUAUUGGGCAAACAUUUGAUAAUCAGAUUGAAUUUUUUCCAUGUUUUAACUGGAUGAAGAAAGGACGAAGGUGAGGAUAUUGGGGUUCAAUUUUAUGUAACCUGUUGUUUGGAGAGUGGCCUCUCACUGAUGAGCUCUUUCUUUUACUUUAUGACUUUUGUUUUGGGUAAGAUUCAAAUAUGGCUUAAAGGAUGUUCUUAAAGAUGUAGAAACUUUUCAAAUGUUACGAUGAUGCUUACAAGGACAUAGCUGCUAGAUUAACUAUUUUUCUAUCAUGUUGGGACAUUUGCUUCCUUUACCUUUUAGGCUUUUCUUUUCUCAUCCUUUUAGACUGAGUUUUUAGUUACUGCUUCUCUCAUUGUUAUCCUUGAAAGACAAAAUGUUGGGGGUGAUACAGAGCGAUCUGAUUGAUCUGUGAGGCUACAGUUGGGUAAAUAGGGGUGGGAGGAGGGGAGGGGAGGUAGAGCAUAGAAUUGUAUGGGCUAAAAUUGGAGAAGGGACGUUCUUGGUCAAGCUCAUGUUCAAGGUUUUGAGGGAGUCAAAGAAGGGUUUUUUCCUUGGAGAGAAGUUUGGUGCAAAGGUUUCUCUUCAUAGGUAUCCUUCUUCGAAUCAUCUGUCACAGUAGAUAGCAUUCUUAUAAAUAAGGAAAAGUUUUUCUUAACUGGUGUUCUGUUUGUGAGAAUGGCAAGAAACACUGAAGUUUUGCUCUUUCAUUACUUGGUUGCUUCUGAUUUGUGGUCACUUCCCAUGACAGUUGAAGGACUAUUAGAUGGUUGGCAUAGGGAAGUUUUUGGGCACACAGGAGACAUGCAUAGCUCCACAUCAUGCUUAUUGUGGACACUUGGAAGGAAAGGAGUAGAAAAACUAUUGAGGGGGUAGAGAUCUCUAUUCAUAAUCUUGAAUAUCAGAUUUUUAUUAGUUUGAGAGUUGCAGUCCAGUUUGGUUAUGUGCAAACCAACACCUCUAAACCCCUCUCCCUAUUUGUUGUUGUUUCCUGGGCUGAAAUUUAGAUAGUUUUUUUUUUAAAAAAAGGUCAAUCUGAUUUAUAAGUGCUUUUGGUGGUUUUCUAGUUACCUCUACUAAACAUGAACAUGUGCUGAUUCACAAUGAGAUUUGAAGAUUGUAUUGGUGGAUUGUACUUCUUUUCUUCAGGCUGCAGUUUGCUUUCAUUUGCAUUGUUAAAUGGCUUGAUGGAAAAUAAAGGCUAGUGGUUUAUCCAUGAUAUUUAUCUUUUUGUCUAUAUCCUUAUCUGAUAGACACCUGUUUUCUGGUUUCAACAAAAUUUCUAAAUAAAUAAUUUCCAAAAUAUGCAAUAACAUCUAGAAACUGUGAACUGUGACAUACGGUUCACAUGACUGUUUUUCUAUGAUUGCUUUUGUUUCUGCACUUUGUAUUGAAAUCCUUUGUUUUUGUUGAGUCAUUUCUUCAUGUAGGCUUAGGUUUGUUAAUUUUACAGGACAACUGAAUGGGAGAGAUGGGGAAGGUGAUACUGAUAGUGAUGAUUUGGAGGAUGACACUACAGAUAUUGAUAAUAAAGUACCACACCCUCAAGGGGUUGGUAGUGCUCCAGAUGACUCCAAUACAACAGAGAAAGAAGUAAUGCCUACUGAAUUUGAUUUUAAUGAAGAAGCAGACAUUGCAAGGAAGGUUUUAAAGAACUUGAUCACAUCCUCUGCUAAAGGAACACUUCCUUCUUCCAGUGGUGGACCCACGGACCUAAAUUUUGAUGAAACCAUUGACGUACUGAAAAAAACAUCCAAUGAAUCUGAAAAAGCAUCAGAUGUAACUGAACCUGAAAACUCUAGCAAAAGCAAAUUAUUAAAUCUUAGACCAAUAGAGUCAGAAGAUGAUUUGCAGAGAACAAUUUUCAUAAGCAACCUGCCUUUUGAUAUUGACAAGGAAGAAGUUAAGCAACAAUUUUCCAAAUUUGGUGAAGUGCAAUCCUUUGUCCCUGUUCUCCAUCAAGUAACCAAGUAUGAGUGUAUUUAAUUUGAUGUCCUUCUAUACUUCUUGUCCUUUGUUGUAAUUCCAUGUGAUUUUAUUGUGCUCGUUGGCAGGCGACCAAAAGGAACAGGGUUUCUUAAGUUCAAUACAGUAGCUGCAGCUGAUGCUGCAGUAUCAGCAGCAAACCCCACAUCUUCUUUGGGGAUUUUCCUGAAGGGCAGGCAAUUGACAGCUUUGAAGGCUUUGGACAAGAAAUCAGCUCAUGAUAAGGAAUUGAAGAAGAGCAAACCUGAGGAACGUGAUCACCGCAAUCUUUACCUGGCUAAGGUUGGUUCUAAAGCAAAACUUCAUUCCCCUAGGGGUUGAAGCUGUAUUGUUAUUGCAGAUUUGUAUUAGUUAUAGAUGAUCUCCAACAUGAUUUACCAUUUUUUUACUUCAAUCUCAUAGGAAGGUCUCAUUGUUGAAGGGACUCCAGCUGCUGAAGGUGUUUCAGCUAGUGACAUGUCAAAGCGCCAUAUGUAAGUUUCUCAAGAAACACUCUAAGGUAGAAAUGUAGGAUGAGAAGCAAUUUUUCCCCUUGAUAUUUGCACAUGCAUAAUGUGCAGUGAGAUAAUUGAGACUGAUAAUGGGUUUCACUUUGGAAGUCCCUUUUGUCAGAACAACUGAUUUCGUUCUUCUAACCAUCUAGACUUUUUAUUUAUUGCUAAAUUAGAUGAAGAGUCAACCUGUAGUUUAUGCAACAGAAGAUUGACCAGUGAUAAAUUGAAUGGGAAUUUGAAGCAGAUAGGGAGAAUAUCUUUCUCCCAUGUUGCCUUCUUUAUCUGAAUAUACUUGAAUUAUUUAGCUAUGAACAUGUUAAAAUUUCAGGUGUGCUCCAUGUUUAUGUUAUUAUUUGAACAAAGGCACAGAAAAAUACUUGGGAGUAUGUCAUAUCUUGAUUUGAAUCCUGCUAGUUCUGCUUGCUAAUCUUAACAUUUUGCUGCUUUAAAAUUUCCUAACCACGCCAGUUUUUGAGAUUAAAUCUUGUAUAUUUUGUAUCAGAUAUAAGAGUUAAAUACUUAUAUUAUAGAUGAGAUUUCUGUGUAUGUUACUCAUUGAUGAAGUGUGGUUUGAUGAAACUUAACUUGGAAGGAAAUACAAGCUGCAAUUCUGGAGGGAUGUUUAUUGGAAAUUAGUUGUCCUGGAGGGUUCAAUGCAAGGAACCUGAAGAGGGUUUAGAUUGAUUGGCAGGAGAGAGAGAGAGAGAGAGAGAGCAUAAUCUAACUUCAGUUAGUCAAUUGGCCACAUAAAAGACAUUAUCUAUAGAGUGCAUCUGCCCACGUUAAGCUGCAACUUCCUUAAACCCUAUCCUAGUUUAGUUAUUUUAAUUUAACUUAAAAGAUGAAAAAUAUGAUGAUGCACAAACUGCAACUCCCCUGGUACAGAACUACCCCUCACCACAUUUUCAACACUUUUCUUCAUGAUGAUAAAUUUGCAGCAAAUAGGAUACUCGUAGUGCCUACUUUGUGAAAUUUGGUUGUUUCUAUAAAGAAAAAGUACAAAUAAUUUAAAAACAAAUCACUCUUCAACUUGUGAAAAAAACCUGCAUGUAAUUAGAUCCACUCUUCAUAGACAAACUUGGGAUUUGUGAUCCCAGGUAAGAUCGGUUCAGGAUCAUGGCAUCCUUUUCUAUCAGAUAGGAAGGGCUGUUGCACAAAAUGUACUUCUAAGUAAUUGUCCCAUAGAUUCUUUAUAUAUUGUAUGAAGAAGAAAUCAUGUAACAAAGGGGAUUGUUAAUUGUACAAAUGGUACGUUGAACUUGGAAUGAAGAAAUUAACGUUACUUUAUCUUUUGAGUUGUUUUGCUGGAUCAAUUGCUCAAGACUUUUGGUCUCUACCCGGACCGAUGAAAAAAAUGGGAUCACUUCUUAUGGACUUGUUGAAAAUGAUUCUGAUCUAAUUCACAGCCUAUAAUAAGUAGAAGACACUCUGGUGGGACCUCAUGACUGGAGUAACAUGGAAAUGGGCCUACACUUGCUUUAAGGCAUGGAAGUUAAGACUUGUCCAUUUAUCUAAUGGUAAUUAUAUCUUUCGGGCCAAUAAGAAGUAAAAUGGUCCAUAUGUAUGUGGCCUGCCAUAGAUUUGGGUGUAAAUAUGUCUCAAACAGUCAUGCAUGUAACAAGGUUUGUGGUGAAUUUUUACUCACUUGGUUUGCUAGGCAUGAAAAAGAUAAAUCUGGUACAGGUUCUAACAUAGAUAUGACCCAUAAUUAACAUCUCCCUUUUUUUUUUCCUUCCCAUCUUUUACUUCUUUUAGUUUGUGUGUAUAUAUGAGGUAUGCAUCUCUUUAAUUCCUUUAUGGAGGAUAGAGGAAGAGCUGUAGAUCCACCACAGAUGCUCCCAUCACUAUUACUGUGGCUACAAUCUGCAGUGUGUUCCUGCAGCAACUCUGCAUCAUGCUUCUUCUUCAUCUUCUCCUCUUGAUUUUGUAGUUUGAUUGAUUCUUAUCUUCUUGGAAAAAUCUCUCAUGCUGUCUCUCUAAAAUUUUUCUGCUUCUCAACAUUCUAACUCUGGUUGUUGGCCUGCUUUUGUUUCAUGCUCCUUGCAAAGUUUCACUGCCUAAUCUCUGUGCAGGUUGGCAAGACAAAAAGAUACAAAAUUAGAAUCUCCAAAUUUUCAUGUUUCAAGGACUAGACUUAUCAUAUACAAUUUGCCCAAGUCAAUGACAGAAAAAGAAGUUAAAAAGCUUUGUAUAGAUGCAGUUACCUCACGUGCUACCAAGCAAAAACCCAUGAUUAAACAGGUUUGUUAUCCUUUUCAAUACUUGAGAAUCAGCUUACCUUCUCUAUGCCAAUUCUGAAUGUAAUAAGAUACUUCCUUUUAAAUUUGGUUUUCUAUUUUUUGUUUCUAAGCCACUUUAGUGAUGCUUAUGCAGAUAAAGUUUCUGAAGGAUAUGAAGAAAGGAAAAGUAGUCACAAAGAACCAUUCACGAGGAGUUGCUUUCAUUGAGUUUACAGAGCAUCAACAUGCACUUGUAGCCCUGAGAGUUCUUAACAACAAUCCUGGUAAAGUGUUUUUUAUGCCAUGUUUGGUUCCAAAAAAAUUAUUAAGGAAAAAAAAAAGUCGAGGAAAAAGAAAAUAAUUUUCUUUAGCAUUUAUUUUUUUUGUUUGAAAGGGGAUUCAACACUGAAAAUGCAUUUUUUUAAUAGUUUGAAACAUUUUUUUUAUUGAGAUGCAGAACUUUCAAUCUAUUCUGAUGGAAUGUGAUCUUAUGCUAUUUAUAGAAACUUUUGGUCCUGAACAUCGCCCAAUUGUGGAGUUUGCUCUUGAUAAUAUCCAAACAUUGAGGCAAAGGAGGGCUAAGCUGGAGGCUUACCAGCAGAUUAACCAUGGCUAUCCAGAGGACUUGCAGCCAAAUGAUGACCCCAACACACCAGAAGCCAGCCCAAACAAGAAGAUGAAAUCAAGAAAACGUAAGUCCAGGGAUAAUGAUGGACCAUUGAAGACUUCAGAACCCAAUGAAGGAGAUGAACCAGAAGAUAAGGUAAUCAAAGGAGCUGUCAUUGAUCGACAUGGAGCUGCAAAGAAACAUAAGAUUAAUCCAGCAAAAGAAAAACAGAAAGACAAACGCAAGAAGCUGAACAAUUCCCAUGGAAUCGGGAAGCCUGAUGAUGAAAAACCCUUAAAAGCAGAAAGCACAAUCAGCAAAGCCCGCAAUUCAAAGUCUUCAGAGGAAUCAAAUAUGCUACCAAAAAAGAGGAAGCUGCAAGAGCAUAUAGCAGUACAAGAAGGGAAAAGCCCGAAACAAAAAACAAGGACCCGAAGGAGUAAAGAUCCAUCAGGGCAGGUCAUACUUGAUAAGUUGGACAUGCUGGUGGAACAAUAUAGAGCUAAAUUUUCACAGCAGACUGAUGACAAAACUGAUGGCCAAAAACAAGGUUCCAGACAGCUUAAGAGAUGGUUCCAGUCAUAAUUUAUACUUAAGAUGGUUUGUAGCUGUGAGUGAUUUAUUCUUCCAUGGAAGGAACUGAUGUCUAAAUGCUUAAAUUUGUUGCACUGUUAAAAUUUUGACAAUUUCCGGAGGAUUGUAACCCUACAACCUUGCAAUUUUGUUACCCCACUUUCAAUGCUGCUGUCCAUGCUCUUCUGUUAUAGGUUUAUGUCAAGUAAAAGUCCAAGGCAUGGAAUUGGUUCUACUGAAAUUCAAAUUUGAACACUUAAAAAUAUACGUUAUAAAUUAAUUGGGAUUACGCAUAAGUGAAAGUAUGAGAUUCGACUAGCACACUGGCCGAGACUAUUUAAUUGAUGCCUUCUUUCUGGUGGGUGGGUCCCAUACGUCGACCCUUAUAUGAAAACUUGGUCAGUGGCUCGGGUUCAUAAAUGGGCGGAGGCCCCUCCUGUGAUCCCCUAGAGCGCGAAAUCACCAAACCUUCUAGGUUCUGCAUGCGAGUCCCAUCACUAAAGUAUUCUUUUUCUUUUUAAAUAUUAUAAAAAAAAAGUUAUUUAAAAAAUAAAUACAAAAAUACACAUGAACAUUAAAAGUACUUGUAAAAAAAUCCUAGUUACUUUUAAAUAAAUGUAUUAAAUUUAAAAUUUUCAAAUUUUGGUUUCUUAUUUUAUGAUUUUUUCUUUUUAGCUGAAUCCCUUGAUGAGUUCUAUGUCAAAUCCCUUAAAUAAUUUUAGAAUUAUUUUUUGUUCAACAACAUUUUAAAUUAAAAAAAAAAAAGGUUAUUGUAAUCUUGCAAAAAGCCCCAUCACAAGACUUCCUUCUUUCUAAGUGUUGUUGCACAACCCUUUCACGGUCCAUUGACUAUUGGGUCUAGAAUAAGUUUGUGUUAGGCGACACAUGGUUAUAGAGGGACUUUUUGUUGAUGGGACAAGACAAACUUUGUUUUGAGAUUUGUUUCUCAUAUAGGUCCUGAUGUAGCUCUUUCGCAUUUGUGCCUUAUCAGUCUCAUGGGUAGUUUGGUGGAUCUUUCAUGGCUAUGCUUCUUGGAUACCCGGGCUAGAUUGCUUGGCCUUUGGGGAGCUCACAACGCGGUAGGAUGCUUGGAUUUUCCGGUUACACUACGAGGGUUUAGUCAAGGGCAGGGUGUAGAAAUACGGGUCUGGAUGUGACGUGUCGAUCCCAACAAGGUGUUUAGGCCUGCUUGGGCCGCCAAGCACUGUGAUCCUUUUAGCAUAAGCAUCCUAAACACCCUAAUGGGAUAGACAUGUUGCAUCCAGACCCAUAUUUCGCCACCCUGCCUCAGCUAAGCACUUGCAUUGAAACUGGAAUAUCCAAGCGUCCUAUUACCUUGUGAGCUCCCUGAAGGCCACCCAAAGGCUGAGAGGUCUGAUAGAGAUAUACUAUUAACCAUGCAUAAGCGUGAAUUUAAUAGUAUGUUAUUAUGAUGUCAUUCUAUAAACAAUUAUUUCUUUGUAUUUAAUUGGAGAUUUGCAUUAGAUAAAUUAAUCUUUCGGCAUAAUUUAAUAAUAAUUGUGUUAGUAUAUUUUAUAUAUAACUAAUUGGACCAAGUAGAGAAUGAAUGUUUUGUACUGACUGUUAAAACAUAUUCUCUAGGACAUUAGAAAUAAGAUUUAUGUUUUUAAUCAUGAUUUAAUUAAUAUGAGCAAAUAUAAAAUGUCUUGUGUUUUGAUUCAUUAAAGAGUGAGUUUCAUUUAUUGGAGCGAUAAGACUCGAUGAGUUGGACAAAGACGCUUUAUGUUUGCGAUGUAUUAAAUAAUGAUUGAAUCCACGUCUCGGUAUAGAGAUUGAUGAUGCACUUUAAGUAAGCUUAUAAGGUUUCAUAGUGUAAACCCUGCAGGUAGAUUUUUAUCCGACACAUAAAUUAAGUUAAGCGACAAUCUUGAAGAUCUAUUGUUACUCAAAUAAAUUGUCAGUAAUUUGUUUGAUGUAAAUAGCAUCUGUAAUCUUAACGUGGGAAACAUAAAUUAUUAUGUAAUGGAAUUGUAAGAUUAAUAAGGAGUUCAAUCAUGAAUUUUUAGUGGUAUAAUUUGUGAUUAAUUAUAAUGAGAAUAUACUGGUUCUAUAUGAAUUCUUAUUAUAAUUAGUAGCCUUGUUAAUUUUAUUCCUGCGGUCCCUACUGUGCCUUAAUUGUUUGGACUAUACAUGAAUUAUGUGUUUUAAAUAAAUGAUAGAUUAGUUUUUAAUUAAAUUUUAUUUAAUUAAAAAUAGAUAAUCUAAUUUAUUUAAAAUGAGCAUUUUAAGGGAAAGAGAGUCACGCUUAUAUCGGUUUUCUUGAAGCAAAUUAUACGCUUAAGAGUUUCUAAGAAAGCGGUCUUCUUCCCAUUGAAGAGAGUAUAUUAGAAACAGAAAAGAGAGUGACAAAACCCUAGCUAUUGUUUUUUUUUGUCCACUCAGAAAUCAUAGUCCGGAAAUUGAUAAGGUAAACAACAGAAGAUUGUAGGAGAUUGUGGGCGUUUUCAGCAGAGAAAAAGGUCAGUCUUUUACAUAUGGUUUUGGCUUGCCUCCAUGCUUGUUUCAUCAUGAUUUGUUUCCGCUGCGUAAAUCAUGGUUUCUAUCAAGGUCUAGCCUGGGCAUUUAGGAGGCGGUUCUGAGUGGCACUUUCCCAAGAACUUCGUGUUGGAAUGUCGUAGGUUUUGUCUAGGUUUGAGCAGGAUAUAUUGGGUGGUAUCGUUUGGUCCUUUCUUGGGCAGGGUUGGUGGCUUUCGCUUGGUUCAUAUGCUUCACAUGAGGAGUGUGCGGCGUCCCUGGGGUCCCAUGGCUUUGUAGCUUCAUUGCCUAGGCUAGGGAUUGUAGUGCCUAGUUGGCACGAGCUAUUUGGUAGGCCUAAGAAGUGGUUUUUCAACAGCCUUCGUUAUACUUCCUCAUCUGCCGAAUGUGUUUGGGCCGCAUUGCUAAGUUGAACUACCAUGACCUCAUUCUCUUGUCUAUGUAGGUUGGCAGUUUUCCUUAGUUCAUUCAACUGCUUCUUACAUUCUACUAGUUUGGAUUCAAGUGCUCAUUGUGUCCUUUAGGGUUGCUCAUCCGCAACUGAGGGAGCGUGUACAUCAACAACGUGGAUGGUUCAUAGUCAAUUUCUGGAUUUUGCUCUCUUCCUACGGAUAAUACCAAUUGUUGUUGCACUACACUUUCAAGGUUCAUUAACUAUUGAGUCUCCAACGAAUCGAUGAUUUUGCUUAAGACUAGUAGGUAGGUAGAUCAUGGAGAGAGAAUUAAAUCCCCUUUGUUGAUGCGAGGUCAACUGGAAUCAGAUCUUCUCUUUGUUGUGCCACUGGAAGUCCCUACUCAGCAGUUGGAGGUUGGGCAAGCUAUUUUCCUGCACAAAGGAUGUCCAGACGGAUUUUCUGAGCAAACCCAUCCGAAGCUUAAAUUAGACACAGGUGAACUUGAACCUUUAGAGAUGAGAGUGAAUGGGCUAGCCCUUCUUGCGUACCUAGGUUAUGCUUGAGAUGGCCUUUUAUAAUGCUUAGGAGAGAGUCACUGUAGUGCUGAGUUGACACUUUGACUUUUACUGCAAUGAUGACUAUCCUGUAAAUGGUAGGACAAUCAUUAUAGUUUAAGGCGACUAGCUGAUGUCGUCAGAUGGUGUGUCAUGAUGUAUUUGCCCGUUGUUUCAGCCUGUUGGAGGUAUGAGACAAUGUGUGAUAAUCUUCUGACAUGGAUGUGAGGAUUAGGGAAGGUCCUAUCGGUUAUACCUAUGCCAAGAAAGAAUGAUUACAUGUAGUAAGGGAGAAUCGAAAGGUAUCCGAAAAAUGUUGCCUGCUUGAGGAGUUUAGUAUUCAUGGCUGCAAGCUUGUAUGGCCCGAAUGGGAAACUCCAGGUACUAUGGUGACCAUUCGGACGGUACUGAGAAGAGCGCCACAUGGACUAACACGCGAAUUGACACGUGGGGGAGGCCCUCACAAUGCCCUUUUUAACAUGUGCGCCUAUGUUCGGAUAGAGGUGUUGAGUUAGAAUGUCUCUUCAAAUUUCCCCGAUGUUUGUGGGACGCGUGUCGCUUAGGGGUUUGAAUGAGGGUUGUUUUUGUUGAGAUUGAUGUCAGGCGGCGCAUCGCCUCGGGAUAUGCUUCUAGAAGGCGUGUUUUUUGGGAUCCCUAAGGUUUUGGUCCCUUAUAAAUAGGGGAUUCCAGACCCUAGAGUCACAUUUUGAAUAUUUUCGCUUUUGGAACCCUUUUUCUCCAUCUUUCCUUCUGUACUCCCCCGCUUGGAACUCUGGUUGUUGUUCACUUCCAGACAAAUCCACCAUCUUUUCCAAUCUCAUUUUAGGCGGCUUCAUAUUUCGCCAACAGACUCAUUUCUAGGUUCUGGUAAGCUCGUUUUUCCUUUGCAUUGGCUUCCUUUCUCGUUUUUGCUUAUUUGGUUGGUUUGCUUGCUGCUUUGGGAUUGUUUUUGCAUUUUUAGGGAUAUUCUGAGUAUGAAAUGGACGCUGUGAAGUCCAUAGUGUGGGGUUUUAGAUUUUUUCUGGGGAGGGCAAUCGCCGUUAGUGGCAGGACUUGGGAGUACUUGUUAGAACUAGGGUUUAUUUUUCCAUGUCUCUUCCCUGCCGAUCCUUAGAAGGCUAUACCUAGGCUUUUUGGCCUGUGGUUAUUGUAGUGUCAUGGUGGGGAAGCCUUUAGUUGGGACUCUCUUGGCAAGUAGGACUAGGUAACUUGCUUAGGUAUGAGCUUAAAAUCCGCUAUUGCUGCUUGCUACAUAUCUGGGACACUGCCUGCUGGCGGAAGGGCCAGGUGACUGUUUUCUAACAUUCAACGUUGUGCCGUGCAGGUCUCACACAACCCACUGUUCUAGUAUGCCAACAAAAGGGGAUGUUGCUUUUACCAGCGUGGUUGGUAAGGGCUAGAAAGGUGGCCUGAUAGGACCAAGUUCCGGCAGUAUCUGUUCGGAAAAACCUACUAAACUCCUUAUUGAACGAGAGUUUUGGGAGAGUUUUCUCAUUCCGAAUGACAUUUCCUUACACUUGGUGGAUAGUGCUCCUAUGUCUAUUGAGAAGGAGUCUCCCAAUGCCAUUUUUUUUUAGUAAGGAGCAAUUCAAUGCAGGGCUCCACCUUCCCAUUCCUUCGCUCUUCAAAUAGUUCCUCCAUUAUACCAAAAUUCCUCUGGCUUUCAUUCAUCUGAAUGUUGUUAGGGUGCUGAUAGGAUGCAACAUCUUGGACAUGAUUUUUCAUUUGAACAUUUCCUUGCUAGAGGUCCUCUUUGUUUACACAAUCAAGAUGAGCGGGAAGAGUAUCUUCAGCUUAUCCGCUCAGAUCUAUUUUCUUUAAUUGGUGACAGGUCUUCCAGACUCCAAGGGCGAUGCUAGGGGGCACAUCCUUGUUCGGGACUCGUGGGCUGGUUUAGUUGAGCAUUCGGAUCGUGACUUUCGCUCACGUCACAUAUUGAGUAUUCUGGGUAGAAUUGGCUCCAUUUUCCUUUGCUUGCUCUUUGUAGUUUACCGGUUGUAGUUCUGGUACUAACAUUCUUGUUUUGUGUGACACAGGCAAGGAAAAGAGAGGUCGACUAGUGGAUUAAGUGGAGAAGGCCUCUUUUGACCUACUUAACAAGCUGUUCGUAAUUUCUGCGGGCAAAAGGAAUCAUCAGACCCUCAUAACGGACCGGAAUUUGCUGGCAGUUGUCUGGGAGCCUCAGUUGUACGUCUUCCACAUCAUUCCUCACUUACUCCUUAAGGUUUUGGUGCCCGGGGUGCAUUACGUGCUGAAGGAUCUUCCCUUCUACAAAGUUGUGCGUGAGGUAGACGUUAAGGUACAUCAGGACCGUCUUGAUCAGAGGGAGAGGAAGAGGUAAGAGGGGAUGCUAAGGCAAGUCCCGUGUGGGAACCGUCUGUCCACUACUUCCACCGUCCACCUCCCAACCAAAAAGAAGUUCGCUACUAAGGUUGCUAAUAAGGCGCUCGCUCCGGCACUCGUGUCUUCGUCCGCUUUGACUUUUGCCUCUUAACUCGCGGCUAGUAUUGAGCAGGACUUAGAGGAUGACUUGCACUUCUUGGGAGCUGAGCCGGGCACAUGGGUUGAGUCUGUGGUGCCCUGCGUCAUCCACGAGCUAGAGGAAGAUGAGGAAGACAUGGUGGCGAACCUACUAGCGGGGUUCAAGGAGAGGCAACGCAAGUGUCUUUCCAAAUCUAUUGCAGUCACUUCGCUUCUUGCUAAGAGGUCUUGUGCGAAUGACACCCAUGUGGAGCUUAUUUUGAAUGCACCUUCGGCGCCCAUGCCCCUAGUUGAUGCUGUACGGCCCAACAAUACGCCGGUUGCGAAGUCCCUUACUAGGAAAGAUGUCUGCCUGACACAAGAUGGGACUUCCAUUGGUCCAACCCAUGUUGGAGAUAACCUUGAUAGAAAGGACGCCUCAAUUCCUUCUCGUGUUCCAAGCUGGGACGAGAUGAAGGAAUUCCUGAAGUAGGUUCCCUGUUUUACUGAGGCCGAGCCUCUUUCGACCAACAUAGCAGACUUCUUCCCGCUCACCAAACGGGUUUCAGUGGACCUAGACGACAAUCCCUCGGCUAAUGUCGCUACUCGACUUCCAUACGGUACUCAAGAAUUCGUCGUUUCUCACAUCCAAUCGAUGUAGGACUACUUUGCUCAUGAGACGAUGGAAGUGGUAAGCCUUACCCCUCCUUAGUUUUUGAUUUCUGGUACUUGUUUUAAUGCUGCUUUUAGAUAGUGGCCGGCAUCCGCAACAUGAUGCGACAGCGUGCCUGUUUUUUAAGCGGCUAGAGGUCGUCGAGGUUAUGAAGACGUUCAUUACCCAACAGAUGGGUGGCAGUGAAGAAUUGCGCUCUAAGCUGGUACAGACAGAAGGUGAUUUUGCUGUCGCUUACAAGGCUAUUGCGGACGGAGCCGAGGCACUGAGGAAGACAGGGGAGUAGAGAGAGGUGACCCAAGCUGAGGCACGUCGGUUGAGAAUGGAAGAGAAUGAUGCGGAAGCCAAGUGCAGGGAUGUUGAACAAGAGAAUGAUCACCUAAAGAAAGAACUAGAGGAGCUCUGGACAGGGUUCGUUUCUUAGAAGAAGAAGUUGGAGGAUGAAUACCAAAAACAGGUUGAUGACAUGUUCUUAUUCGGUUAUCAAUAUUGUAUGAAGAAGAACGACAUCACCUAAAAUAUCCCCAGUUAUCCUUCUGAUGAUGAGGACACUGUAGCCGACAUCUCCACUCAAGGAGAUGAAGUUUCUUCUAUAGCUGACCCCUCUGUCGGGCAGUGAUAUUGCUUGUAAUUUUCUUUUCUUUAAUUAUCCUAACCGGAUUUGACAUUGUAAUGAACAAUUGUGCUUUUAAUGAAUACUUGUUUCUUUCUCUGCUUGUUUUUGUGCACACUUUACUUUUUUUCAAGCCAACUUAUUAGCAAUAUUAUUUCAAGUUAGACACAUUCCAGGUAUGGAACAUGGACACUCCAUCUAGUGUUUGCAAGUGGUAUGCCCCUGAGUCUCCAGCCUUAGCCACAACAUAGGGUCCUUCCCAAUUCGCUUAGAGUUUCUCAGUCCCUUUGUUAGCUAUGUUUUCAAAGACUUUUUUGAGGACUAAGGUCCCAACUUUGAACGCCCAUGGCCAGGCCUUUCUGUUGUAGUGGGCGAUGACCCUUUGUUGGUAGGAUGUUCUCCGGAUGACAACAUUUCCUCUUUCUUCGUUUACCCAGUCUAGAUGUCUUUCAAGCUCUUAAUUAUCAUUUCUUUGACCUUGGAUGAUCGUCUUGGCUAUAGCCAUGCCUAUCUCGAUUGAGAUGAUUACCUCCAUUCCAUAGGCAAGAUAAAAAAUGAUGGUUCCAGUAGGUCAUCUAGGGGUCGUCUAGUAGGCCCAUAGGACCCUGGGCAAUUCGUCUACCCACUUUCCUUUGGCCUCCUCCAGUAUUUUCUUCAGUGCAGGGAAUAUGGUUUUAUUUGUUGCAUCUGCUUGUCCGUUGCUUUAGGGAUAAUAGGGCGUGGAAUACAUAUUCUUGAUCUUUAACUCUGAGUAGAAGGUUAUGAAGGCAAUGUUAUCAAACUGUGACCCGUUAUCUGCUACAAUUGCCUGCGGGAUCCCGAAUUGGCAGACGAUGUUUUUCCAUACGAACUUAGAGACAUCCUUGUCUUUGAUGCUGGCAUAGGCUUCUAUUUCUACCAAUUUUCUGAAAUAAUCAGUGGUUAUGAGUAGAAACUUUUUCUGCACGACUGCGAUGGGUAGGAGGCCAAUUAUAUCCAUCCCCCACAGUGUGAAUGACUAGGGACUCGUGACCGGAUUGAAGACUUCGGAGGGCAUACGAGGUAUGAGAGUGUACCUCUGGCACCUAUCACAACUUUUGACAUAGUUUUCAGCAUCCUGUCUCAUGAUGGGCCAAUAGUAUCUUUAUGAGUGAGCGCGAUGUUCUAAGGUACGCCCGCCUGCAUGAUUGUCACAUACACCUUCAUGGAGUUCAACCAGAACAUACUGUGCAUCCGAAUCAUUCAAAUACUUGAGGUGCAACCCCCAAAUGAUCUCUUGUAGAGGCUGUCCCCGAUUAAAGUAAAGCGGGCAGCCUGUACUCAGAUAUGUGGGCCUGCUUUUCUUCUUCAGGAACCCGUACGAGGUAGCGAGCCAUGCGUUCAUCAUUGGCUUCGUAUUCCCCCUGAAUUUGCUUAAUGACUAGUUGAGGAUGCUAUAUAUUCUCACUUUAGCUGCUGCUAAAGUGAAGGCGAGGUCUAACCCGACCAGGAUUGCUUCAUAUUUAACUUCAUUGUUGGAGGCAGGGAAACCAAGCCGGAUAGUCUGUUCUAGCUGCUCACUAGUUGGUGACUGUAAGACAAGGCUUAUCCCGGAACUUGAGGCCUUGGACGCUCUGUCCACAUGAAGAACCCACUACCAUUCUUCAGGGGAUUCUAUGAGGUGGGAUGGCUGCUGGGAGACUUCAGCUAUAAAGUCAGCCAUGACCUGUCAUUUCAUCACCAGUCUAGGCUGAUAUUUGAUUUCGUACUUACUUAACUCUAUGACCUAUCUUAGCAUUCUCCUGGACAAGUCUGGUUUAUGCAGAAUGCUUCUGAGUGGUUGGUUCGUGAGUACAGUCACCUGAUGUGCUUGAAAGUAUGAGCAAAGCUUUUGAGUGAUGUUUUUCAAGGUUAAGGUUGUCUGCUCCAUCUUGGAAUAUCGAGUUUCUGCAUCAACCAUUGAUUUGCUUACGUAGUAGAUGAAUAUUUGUUCUUUGUCUUUCAAGUGACGAAAUUAACAACGUUGACCGCACAGUCAGACAUUGUUAAAUACAUGUAGAGUUGUUCACCGGGUUCUGGGCUACUUAGAAUGGGUGGUUGGGUGAGAUGGUGUUUGAUUCAUUUGAAUGUCUACUCACAAUCAUCCAUCCAUCCGGUCGUGUUUGCCCCUUUUAGUGUGAGGAAGAAGAACCUUAGCUUGUCUGUGAAUUGGGUUAUGAAGUGCCUUAGUACUGCUAGACGACCCAUAAGGCGUUGCAACUCCUUCUUGUUAUUUAGGGUAGACGUCUCCAUGACAACUCUUAUUUGGUCCGGAUUGACUUCUAUUGCUCUUUGGGUUACCAUAAAUCCCAAAAAUUUGCCCGCGCUAACACCAAAAGCUAAUUUAGCCAGAUUGAGUUUUAUGUUGUAUGCUCUCAUCAAGCGAAACGUUUCUUCUAAGUGCAAGGCGUGUUCGCUCUUGGUUUUGUUUUUUACCACAAUAUCAUCGAUGUAGACUUCCACGACCUAACCAAUUAGAGGUUUGAAUAUUUUUGUCAUGAGCCUUUGAUAGGUGGCUCUAGCGUUCUUGAGCCCAAAUGACAUGACUUUGUAGCAGUACAACCCGUGCGGUGUGACAAAGACGGUUUUCUCUUCAUCUGGCUAGAACAUAGGAAUUUGAUGGUAUAUGAAAAAUACAUCUAUGAAAGAAAGCAUCUCAUGUCCGGUAGUGGAGUCGACAAUCUGAUUUAUCCAAGGCAAAGAGAAGUUAUCAUUUGGGCAAACCUCGUUCAGAUUGGUGUAAUCAACACAGACUCGUCACUUUUCUCCAUUUUUUGGAACAACCACUACAUUCGCCAGCCAAUUUAGAUACUCCACUUCCUGAUAAAUCCGGCUGCCAACAACUUGUCUACCUCAGAUUGGAUGAUCUUUUGCCUAUUCGGGUGAAAACGUUGGACCUUUUGGCAGAUGGGUCUUAAGGAAGGUAUAACAUUAAGCCGAUAUGAGGUUACCGAUGGAUGAAUUCUGGGCAUAUUGGAGUGAGUCCAUGCGAAGACAUCUUUGUUUUGAUGAAACACGUCUUCAAGUAUUUUUAACUCUUUUGACGUUAGAAGAGAGCUGAUGUAAGUAACAUGAUCGCUGCUAUAUGAGAAAUGCAAGUGUUGAAGUGGAUUAGCUGUCAGCGGAUCUUUGUCCAUUGGGUUCUGUAAUUUCUAUUGCUUAUUCGCAUUUGCCGGAUUUAUGCAUGGCUUAAUACUGCUGGUGGAUCCGGAUUCACGUGCUAUUCGAUAACAUUGGCACGCGCCCGGCUGACUGCCAAAAAGGUCGAUCUGUCUGUCCUUGGUGAGAUAACUCACCAUCUGGUGAUACAUAAAGGGGAUGACCUUCAUGUCGUGAAGCCAUGUGCGUCCCAUGAUGACAUUAAAAGGGGACAAGUCUUCCACCACUGAGAACUACACAUUCUGGAUAAUUGGACCAGCCUGGACAAGUAGCACGAUGUCUCCUAGGGAAGUUGUUGAGGCUCUGUUGAAUCCAGAUAGUAUCCACUCGGGAUUCUCUAGAGCAGAUGGUGGGACUCUCAUUUGUCUGUAUGUUGACAUCUGUAAAAGGUCAACUGAGUUACCCGGAUCGACUAAAAUCCUUCUCACAUCAAAAUCACUUAUCCCCAAUGUCAGGAUUAGGGCGUCUUCGUGUGGCUGUAGUACCCGAUUGGGGUUUAUUGGAAGGAAGGUGAUUGUCCUAUCCACUGGGCGUGCACCCCCACUUGGCAAGUUGUGCUAGAUGGAGCUGACCUGUUCUCUUACGGAGGCUACUCGGAAAAGUCUUUGCUUUUUUUGCUUGGAAUUGUAUUUUUCGUCAACGCCCCCCCCAUGGAUGUAGUUGAUGACAACUCUGGGAGCCGCUGAGGUUGUGGGUACUUGGGUGGCCAAAUUCCAAGUUGUUUCCCUUCGUGCUCCGUCAGAGCGGAUGUACUGUUUCAGGUGUCUAGCCUUGAUUAGUCUCUCUACUAAGUAGUGGAGACUUCUACAUUACUUCGUGGUAUGACCAUGAUCUUUAUGAUAAACACACUUCUUGUUCCGAUCUUGUUUUUCCGGAUUUGACUUAAUUGGCUCUGGCCACUUGAAAUCGGACAGAUCUCGAAUAAUGGGAUAAGUUUGUCGUAUGAGAUACUGAGGGGGGUUAGGCCAACUUGGUUAAGCUACUAUUGUCCGUUCCGUCCCUUGCCAACUUGCCUUAGCUAGUUUGAGGGUUUAGAGUUUUCGGCAUGGUCGUUUCUGGCAGGUCGACUGGUAACCAGGACUUGUUGUGUGGUCGCGCGGACGUCGUCUUCGAGCAUGGAGUAUUUUUUUUGCUCGUUUAAAUAGGUCUUCCAUCGUUGCGGGCGAUUUUUUAGCGAGAGAUUCAAAGAAAGGUGUUCCGGGACAGAUGCUUCUUUCAAAGAUUUACAAGAUGACAUCCAUAUUGCAUGAUUCUACUUGGAGCACAACCUAUUCAAAUCGUUUUACGAGCUCUCUCAGGGAUUCAUUUUCCUGUAUCUUUAUGUUUUGCAGGGUACUUAUGUUAUGCUUGUGUCGAGUUGAACAUAGGUAAUGUCCCAUGAAGGCUUCCGACAAGUCCCAGAAAUUACUCAUGGAGUUUUUUAGGAGGCGGUGGAACCAUGAUAGAGUCUGGUCGUGCAGGAUGGCUGGAAAGACUUUACAUAACAACGCGUCAUUUCUUAUGUCGAGGGUCAUGAGCUGCCUGUAAUGCAUGAUGUGAUCAAACAGAUCACUUGUUUCGUCGUAUGUUGUGAAUUUCGACACUAUGAACCCUCUUGGGGGCUCAUAGUCGAUGAUGUAAGGUCUGAAAUGCGUGGAGAGCAUGUCAUCCAAACGCCUGCUAAUAGAGCCAAACGGACCUGACUCAACCAGAAGCCUAACAUGUGGUUGUGCUGGUGGAUGGGGAGGCCAGUCUGGCAUCACCGCUGUAGCCAAGGAACCAGGAUAGAUCUCCUGGGCCGUUGCUACACGUGGUCUCCCUUCCACGCCAGGUGUUUGAGGCCCCAACCGUGUGCGCAUUGCAUCAGAUAGUUGCGACAUCUUGUCGUGUCUCCUUUUUGUUAAGAUGCGGGUGAAGUCAAAGCUUUCAUCUAGCAACAUUGGGCAAGUUGGUGGAACCUUCUCUUCAGGCUGUACCUUCUGACUACUAGAGGGAAACUUCGCAUUUUUGGGAAAUGACACUUCUUCAUUUUGUUUGGAGUCCGUUCAUUGGCUUUUGGGCUGUCGACUACCAGAUGAGCCUGAUGAAGAUACCUGGAUACGCAACACGUCGUUCUCUUCUCGAAGUCUCCUUGCCUCGCGGACCAGGGCUUGCACUUGUCGUUCACUCUCUUGCUGGUGUCUUUCCAUGUUUUCACACCAGUCGAAGUAGCCUUCGCUACCCAUGGUUGAUGAUCGGCUUCUCGAGGGCGUUGACAUCCUUAAUUGUUCCCACAGAUGACGCUAAUAUUGAUGCGAGGUCAAUUGGAGUCAAAUCUUCCCUUUGUUGUGCCACUGAAAGUCCCUACUCAGCAGUUGCAGGCUAGGCAAGCUAUUUUCCUGCAUAAAGGAUGUCAAGACGGAUUGUCCGAGCAAGCCCCUCCGAAGCUUAAGUUAGACACAGGUGGGCUUGAACCUUUAAAGAAGAGAGUGAAUAGGCUAGCCCUUUUUGCGUACCUGGGUUAUGCUUGAGAGGGCCCUUUAUAAUGCUUAGGAGGGAGUCACUAUAGUGUUGAGUUGACACUUUGACUUUUACUACAAUGAUGGCUAUCCUAUAGAUGGUAGGACAAUCAUUACAGUUUAGGGCAGCUAGCUUGUGCCAUCAGAUGGUGUGUCAUGAUGUAUUUGCUCAUCGUUUCAGCCUAUUGGAGGUAUGGGGUAGUGUGUGAUAAUCUUCUGACAUGGAUAUGAGGAUUGGAUGUGAGGAUUGGGGAAGGUCCCAUCGGUCAUACCUAUGUCAGGAAAGAAUGAUUACAUGUAGUAAGGGAGAAUCGAAAGCUAUUCGGAAAACGUUGCCUGCUUGAGGAGUUUAGUACUGUUGGUUGCAAGCCUGUAUGGCUCGGAUGGGAAGCUCUGGGUACUAUGGUGACCAUUCGGAUGGUAUUGAGAGGAGCGCCACGUGGACUAACAUGCAAAUUGACACGUAGGGGAAGGCCCCCACACCCCUCCGCCCUUUGUAGCCCUCUUUAUAUAGGUUUCCCUUAUUGAAUCUUGAUUGGCCAAAUGGUUUAACUUCUUCCUUAAGAAAUGACAAGUUAAAGGGUCAAAUGUUGAGGGUCGCGUCAAGCUUAUUAUUGGUUGGCCAAGUUUGUGUUAGGCGACGUGUGACUGACCAACAUAACGGUUUUUUGUUGAUGGGGCAUGGCAAUUUUGUUUUGGGAUUCGUUCUUGGUGUAACUCUUUGUUAUUCACGCCUUGUGAGUUUCGUGAGUGGUCCUAUGGAUCUUUCUCGACUAUGCUUCCAAUAUACCCAUUCUAGAUUGCUUGGCCUUCGAGGAGCUUACAAUACAAUAAGAUGAUUGUGUUAGAAAUAUGAGAUUAAUCCAACCUAUGGUAAUCACCCUAGAGAGGGGGUGAAUAUGGUGAUGGUCUCUUUUUGCAAAUUUAAACUAAGUGAAUGUAAGAGACAAUUUAUAUGCAAGUAUAUAAUAAGCAAUAUAAAGACAAUUGCAUAUAAAUUAAAGAGUAUUGAAGAGAGAAUGCAAACACAAGAGUUUAUAGUGGUUCGGCGCAACCCGACCUACAUCCACUCUCCUCUAGCUUCAAUUCUAAGCUUGAGGUUCCACUAAUUCAAGGCUUCCAAACCAAGCCUUCAAGCAAUACAAUUGGAUUAUGGUUCCAAUUCACCCUCUUAGACUUCUGGCUCCAAGCACCCUUUACACUUCUCAAUAGAUACCACACUUUUGAGAAACUUCCUCUCAAAGGUUUACAAAUAAAAGAUCUCACAAAAAUCCUAGCACAAGAACUUUAAGCUUAAAUGAUACAAGAAAAUUAGGAUUGAAAGGUGCACUAAGGAUAUGCAAGUUUUAGAACAAUGGUGCACUCAAAAACACUCUUCCAAGGCUCAAAUAUAAUCAAGAAAGGUUUGGGAAGGUUAAGCUCUUGAAACAAUGAAGAUUGGAGCCUUAUAGAAGAGAAAAACCAAACUAGCCGUUUGGGGUUCGACUGGUUGAGCUAAGGGUCGACCGGUUGACUAGCCAUUAACAUUUAAUGCUUGGCAGGUGAUCGUUGGGCCUCAAUCGGACCUCAACCGGACCUCGACCGAACCUUAAUCGGUUGAUGUUCAACCUUGACCGGUUGAACAACCGUUCUGGAAGAAAGAGAAAGUUUUUUGCACCCUCGACUGAUUGAGUUGGGGGUCUACCCGGGCCUCGACCAGUUGAGUUGGGGGUCGACCCGGACCUCGAUCGGUUGAACUUGCGGUCGACCGGUUCCUCACCCGAUUCAACUGGUUGAGUCGUUUUUUGACUCAACAAUCAACUUUUUCAACUUAAAACCUUUUAAAACAAGUUUGAAAGACAUUUAACACAAGGUUUUAGUUGAAAACAUGAAAUCAUCCAAUUCUUAAAAUAUUUAAAACAAAAUAACUCUUGGAUGAUUUUGGUGCAUAAGUAAAGAAUGUAAUAUAUGGAAAUCCUAGUGUACCAAUAACCUUACAAAGAGAUUUUAUGAAGCUUGGGUCUUGAAAAACACUUCUCUUUGAGGUGAUCUUCUUCUUCAUGAUUUUUUUCUUGACUUGAUUUGUCUUUAUGAUUGCCACUUUGGAAAUCAUCUUGUCUAAUUACACUUGAAAUAUAAUUAUUAGUUCUAAACCUUAUUUUGUUAUCAUCAAAAUCAAGAUUAAUCAAACUUUGGUUUCACAGAUUGGAUAUUCCAAUUAUGUUACGGGUGUUUAGUUGAGGGCAGGGCAUCGAUGGGUUUGGAUGCAACAUGCCAGUCCUAACAAGGUGUUUAGGAUGCUUAGGCCAAAGGGUGAACGGUGCUUGGCAAAAUAAGCCACUGUUGGUAACCCGAUACCUCCAUUAACUAUGAAAUUCUAUUGUUUUAAAAUAAAUGCCGAAUUCAAGGGAAAUUGUGAUAAAGACACCAAUUUGACAAAUAUGUUUUUUUCCCUCAAUGGUGAUGAAAAUUAAAUAAAUUUAGAAUCCUUUACACGGAGAAAGCCAAAAUUAGACCCCUAAAAACCAAUCCAUUUUAGGGCCCAGCAAUUGUACCAAAAGAAUGCGUGAUAAAUACUUGUAAAAGUUAUAAUUUUUUUUUUAUAAAAAAAGGACAUGCUAGGAUCAUGACACUGCAUAAGCGACUAGUGCAGGGAAAAGAGAAAGUGAGAGGAAAAAGUUGAUGUACUGAUGAGUGAUGAUCCCAUAUCAUAUUCUACCCAAACAAAGCAUUUAUAUGGGUCUGUCUCAAAUAAAAUUGAUGUCAUCAUCCCAAAAUAAAAUAUGUCAAUAUCCAUUUGAUUAAAAGCUAAAAUUUCAGCUUGAAAAUAAUGUUUAUUAAUCAAGUUUUAUAGUAGUGAGGUUCUUCAUCAAAAUAUAAUUUUUUUAAAAAUAUAUUUAAAAGAUAAUAAUUAAAAACUAUAUUCAAAUCCAAGAGAUUGCAAGAUAGAUAAAAUCACUUCUUUAACGAUUAUUCAAAUAUGAUGUAAUUACAUCAAAAUUGAUUUUUGGAAAAAUAAUUGUCUAAUUUAAAAUUAUAUUAUUUUUAUAUAAAAGUCCUAUUCAAAGAAUGUAUAAAAAUAGGGUUUUUUUUUAGAGUGAUAUCAUUUAUUUAAUUUUAAGUUUUAUUACUUUAUAUUCAAUGUUCACGCUGAAGCCUUUGGUUACACGUGAUUAUUGGCCUGUUCGAACGGGAAGAAAAGUGAAGAGAGGUGUGGAAAGGGUGGGGCCACUCAUGGGUGGGUGUGUUGUGGGAGACACAAGAGUCCAUUUUGUCAAAAAAGGCAAAGGGUAUCGUGUGUGGAUAAUAAAGUAGCAAUUGAAAGCAUCCUAUGUCAAAUUUUCAAACGGGCUUCUAUUAUUCACCGACACCGUAAUGCUCAUAGCCCUCAACCUCAUCACCACUAACCUUGACAAUUGUAUCUAUUAUUUACCUCUCUAACUUUACCAAAAUAUAAAACUUUCAAAAUUUUCUCCUCGUAUUAAAGGAAGUAUAUCGUACUUAAAAUAAUUUUAUUUUUUUAUAGUUUCAUUUUUUUUUAAUGUUUUUUUAGUUAUAUAUACAAUGAACCUAUUGAUGGAUUGAAUGUAUAAAUAUAUGAGAUUGAAAUCAUAUAUAAAGGCAAAGUGAUGACAUUUAGAUAUAUAAUAUUACUUGAUUAAUGAAACAUUUUUAUAAUAUGAUCCUCUAAAAAUGCCUUUGCAUAUCAUAACGGACCCUUUUAUUUCUUUGUUUAGUGAUAAAGGUUUUGAAUUAUUAUUUUUAUUAUAUAAAUAGAUAUAAAGAGUUUUCAAAUAAAGUCUUGAAAAGCAGGCAUUUAGAAAAUCUUAUGUACAGAGUUUAUAUUAAGAGUGUGGGAGUUCAAGGACCAAUUUCAAACAAUCUCAAGAAACUUUUAUUUAUUCAUUUAUGUUAUUUAAGAAAUAUUCAUCGUAAUUCACCCAUGUAUUUGAAGUGAUUGUAACUCCUAUCGAUUUAAAGAAAUAGCUUAAAUUAUUUUAAAGCUUCAGUAAUGACAAACAACUGUCAUUCUCGCAAUUUUUUUUCUUUGAUCUUCAUAUGCUAAACAUCUCAAUCUUCUCAACAACCCUCUAUUCUCAAGUUUCCCACCACCUUCUUCAAUGGGCGUAAAUGCUUCCAAAAAUAAGUAAAAUACGGAAGAAAGAAUCCAAAUUGAAUGAAGCCUCGUUUGUAAUUUUGUUGCGGAGACUGGAGACACCACAAGAGGCUCUACUGCUCACAUUUCACAUAUCUUUUGCCUUUUUCAUUUGUCUUCAACCAUUCUCUCUUCUUGUCUAAGAUAAUGGGAGCUAUCUCAGAUUCCAAGUGGUUUCUUCUGUGCAUGUGGGUGUUUCUGUGUAUUCAGCUGACCCAGUGUAGUGUAACCUAUGACAGGAAGGCUCUUAUCAUCAAUGGGCAGAGGAGAAUUCUCUUCUCUGGGUCUAUCCACUACCCCAGAAGCACCCCUCAAGUACACUACUUUCCCACAUUUUCCUGAGAAAAUGUGUUUGCAAUGUGGAAUUUUCCUGACUUUUUUCUACAAUGUAGAUGUGGGAAGGCCUCAUACAGAAGGCCAAGGAUGGGGGCUUGGAUGCCAUAGAUACAUAUGUGUUCUGGAACCUUCAUGAACCUUCUCCUGGGAAGGUACUAUGUCUUCUCUUCAUUCUCUCUCUACAGUUCUACUCUGUUUUACCUAUAUUUUCUUUCAUUAUCUUGUUUAUAUUUCAUCUUUCUUUUCUCUUCUUAUAAUUUUUUUUUUCGGAUUUCUGGGUUUUAGUAUAACUUUGAGGGGAGAUAUGAUUUAGUUCGGUUCAUCAAGCUGAUCCAGAAAGCUGGGUUAUAUGUGCAUCUUCGCAUUGGGCCUUACAUUUGUGCAGAGUGGAAUUUUGGGUACUUUUACCAUUACUUGAUGAUUUAUAGAGCUUGAUACGAAAUGGGUUUACGCUUUUCAAAUUCACCUUUUUCUUCUUUCCUUUCGGUGUUUGAUUUUUUACCCGCUUUUUUUCCAGGGGUUUUCCUGUUUGGUUGAAGUUUGUUCCAGGCGUUAGCUUCAGAACAGAUAAUGAGCCUUUCAAGGUCUUUCUAUAUAUGGAUUCUGCACAAGCAUAUAUUGAUUUUGUGUCUUCAAUCAUCAGUCUUUUAGAUAAUUACUGAUAUAUUUGUUGUUUAUGUUUUCCAUAAUGUAGAUGGCAAUGCAAAGGUUCACCCAGAAAAUUGUCCAAAUGAUGAAAAAUGAGAAGUUGUUUGAGUCCCAAGGUGGCCCUAUCAUCAUCUCUCAGGUUUGGUUUUUGGGUUCUGCCUUCCUAUUCUUGUCCGCCAUGGCACAUUAAGCAUUUCAAUACUGCAAAUUUUUUAGGUGUUUCUAUAUAUGUCAGAAACUUUGAGUUCAGAUUUUGGGGAGAAAAUGCAGAACAAGGAUUAAUUUAGUCAUGGCGAUGAGAGUCCCACUAUGUGGUAAAACUUAACAGUGUUUCAACCAAUUCUUUAUGUAGAUUGAGAAUGAAUAUGGCCAUGAAAGCAGGGCAUUUGGAGCUCCUGGGUAUGCAUACCUGACUUGGGCUGCAAAGAUGGCAGUUGCAAUGGAUACAGGGGUGCCAUGGGUUAUGUGCAAGGAAGAUGAUGCCCCUGAUCCAGUGGUGAGCAAUUUCAUACUUUUUGCACAUGAAACCUAGCGCUCCCGUUUGCUACAUAACCUUGAACAAAUUAAGAAGCUACCUUUAACGAUCUUCCUAUUUUUUUGUUUUCUUGAACUUCAUCACUAUUAGUAUAACCAUUUUACUUGUGGGAUUUUGUAUAUAUUUAUUGCAUUACCUCCCUGUUAUCUGGUGGGCUCUUUUUACAAGUUUGUGAGAAAGAAGAAUAAUGAAGAAGUAUGUUAGGAGCAAGUUUGGCGGUUUUUGGCUUGAACUCCCGGUUAGUUUCAAAGAUGCAAAAUUUUGAAUCCAUUUUUCUGUAAAUCUUGAUGACAGAUUAACACGUGCAAUGGUUUUUAUUGCGACUAUUUCUCUCCAAACAAACCAAAUAAGCCCACACUAUGGACUGAGGCUUGGUCUGGCUGGUAAAUUUUGACAUCUAUAUCCCCCUCAAAGAUACACACCAUGAAAUGCAAAUUUACUGUCUCUCUCUUUUAAAGGUUUACUGAAUUUGCUGGCCCAAUUCAACAACGGCCGGUUGAAGAUUUGUCAUUUGCAGUCACCCGGUUCAUUCAAAAAGGGGGCUCCUUUGUUAAUUACUACAUGGUCAGUUGCAAUUCAAUUUCUUAGUUCUUUGCUAAUUUGAUAUUGAUGCAUUUGGUAAUAUGGAAAAGUAGACCUAUGAAUAGUUCCAGAAGAUAAUUGUGUGGAAUGUAGAAAAAAACUUCCUUGUACUUCUUGUUGGCUGCCUAGAAAACAGAAGGACAUGUAUGAAAACUUGGCAUAUCAAGGAAGGCAUGGCAGUUGUUCAAUUCCAAGCUUUCUCUACUUUCAAGCAAUCAACCGAAAAUCAUUUUUACUGACAUUGCUCUCUGGAGCAUAUGCUUGCUUCAAGCCUUUUCAUCUCUCCAAUGAUAGCAACAUUAUAGACAUGGGAGCUUCAUUUUGCUAAAUGAAGCUUAUUUAUGUAUCGUUUCUGACAGUAUCAUGGAGGAACCAAUUUUGGAAGAACAGCUGGAGGUCCUUUCAUUACCACUAGCUAUGACUACGAUGCUCCAAUUGAUGAAUAUGGUGAGAACACUCGCCUGUUUUAGUACCUGAAAGGCCCAUCCUUCGGUUUUGUAGACGCAACAUAUAAUUGUUGCACUUCUAACUCACUAGUGCCUGAUUCUGAUUUGAUAGGGUUGAUAAGACAACCUAAGUAUGGUCAUUUGAAGGAGCUCCAUAAGGCUAUUAAAUUAUGUGAACGAGCAUUGUUAUCUGCUGAUCCUGCUGAGACUUCCUUAGGAACUUAUGCAAAGGUUUGUCAUCAUUUUUAUUCUGAAGCAACUUCAAUGGCUUCCGACUCAGUCUUUGUAUGGUUUAAGUUUAGUAAGUCAUGAAUCAGAAGUGGAGAUAUUCCAAGUGCUCAUUUUUGAGGUAGGAAGAGAAGAACACUGUUGGUGGCAAGCUAUACCAUUCCUUUUUCAGCCCUGUUAAGCAGUACGCUUGAACUAUGCCGUUGGAAAUCGAAAAAAUUAUCUUCCUUAAAUGGCUUUGAAAAUAUCCUAAAAUCAUUCAGAAUUGAGAUUUAACUCGAUGUUAACAUUUUCAGGCACAAGUAUUCUAUUCUGAGUCUGGAGGCUGUGCAGCUUUUCUCUCAAACUACAAUCCAACAUCAGCUGCAAGGGUGACAUUUAACAGCAUGCACUACAACUUGGCACCAUGGUCCAUCAGCAUCCUUCCUGACUGCAAAAAUGUUGUCUUUAACACUGCCACAGUGAGUGAAACAGAAGAUAGUAGUAAGGGGAUGCUUUUGAUUAUGCAUAAAGUAAAUGGCUUCAUCUAUUUUCUGUGGCAAGCCAUUUUCAAGAAAGUUUGACCUAAUCUUAUGUCAGGCUUUAUAAGAGACAUUGUCAUUACCAGACCUUGCCAACAAUGUUGAUUGCGCCUUUAUCCAGAAAUUAUUUUCUGUACAGACAAAUGCAGUCUAGAUGAAUUAGCAUGAGUCUUUGUAGUGUACUAUUAAUUUUUUUUAUACAUGCCGAGGUUAUGUAGGCAUCUCUGUCUGUUGCAGGUUGGAGUUCAAACAUCCCAAAUGCAAAUGUUGCCAACAAAUUCUGAGUUGCUCUCAUGGGAGACUUUCAAUGAAGAUAUAUCUUCAGCUGAUGAUGAUUCAACUAUCACAGUUGUUGGUCUCUUGGAACAGUUAAAUGUUACCAGAGAUACCAGUGACUAUCUCUGGUAUUCAACCAGGUGCGAUGAAUCAAAUUUUCUAGUAUGUUGAAUAUAUAAAUAUUGCAAUUUUACCUUUCUAUUCACAUCCAUCCAGGAUUGAUAUAAGUUCGUCUGAGUCAUUUCUGCAUGGAGGCCAGCAUCCUACUCUCAUUGUCCAGUCCACAGGCCAUGCUAUGCAUGUAUUUAUCAAUGGACAUCUUUCAGGUACACAGCUUUGCUGACCAAUUAGUUUCAAAUAUGAUGUAUAAUCUCUUUGAGAUAGUACACAAUUACUUGAUAGUUUGUAUCAUUGUGCUCCUAUUGCAGGCUCUGCCUUUGGGACUCGGGAAGACAGGAGAUUUACUUUUACAGGAGAUGUCAACCUGCAGACUGGGUCAAAUAUAAUCUCAGUACUCAGUAUAGCUGUUGGACUGCCAGUUAGUAUCUAAAUCACAGUUUAUUUUUUUUGAUAGCUCUAAAUCGCAGUUUAUAUUAGAGCUAGUUUCCUAACACCUGAAUGCAACCAUGGUAAAACUGCACUCAAAUCAAGAAAGUACUGCUUGGCUUAGUAGACCCAAUGUUUAUUAUGAGCUGCUGAAGAAGGUUUGAAAUUUAAAUAUAAUUUUGAAACGAAUGAUAGAGUUUUGGCAAUUCAGUUAAGUCUAUUUUCAGAUUUUCAACACUAUGAUACUUCAACUUCUUUCAAUCUUUCUGUCAAAAACCAAAAUUUCUUCCCUUCUGUCUUUCAUUUGUUUGGCCAAUUUAAACUUAAAAGGGUUUCUGUUUGUCAUGGUUGAAGAACAAUGGGCCACAUUUUGAAACAUGGAGCACAGGAGUCCUAGGACCAGUUGUUCUCCAUGGGCUAGAUGAGGGAAAGAAGGAUUUAUCCUGGCAGAAAUGGUCAUACCAGGUGAAUGAAUUUGUUUAUGAUGCAUUGUUUAUCAGGAGACGGUUUUUGCUAAAUAAGCUUGUCAUUUUCCAGGUUGGGCUCAAGGGAGAAGCCAUGAAUCUGGUUUCUCCAAAUGUAAUUUCAAACAUUGAUUGGAUGAAAGGAUCAUUAUUUGCUCAGAAACAACAGCCACUUACAUGGUAUAAGGUAUGGAAACAAUGGACAUAUGGUAUUAGAGUUGUAUCUAACGACCACUAAAAUCUAUCACAUCCAAAACAGCCAAUUUUUGUUUUACUCUGAUGGUAGGUUGUAUACCUGUAUUAUCUUCUUUCCAAAGUCAAUUUUCAACUGUGAGACUGGUUGAAAUUAAAAAGCAGCUUCAACAAAAAUGAUAAAUGAUUUCUAAUGUCAGCUGUAAUGGAUUCUACUAUCCAAAUUUAGGAUUCUUUGUUAAGCAAUAAAAAUGAAAGUGAGAAAUAGUGCUUGGGCAUGUAGAAAUAUCUUCCAAAAGGAAAUUAAAUUGUAGAAAUGUGCAGGCUUAUUUUGAUGCACCAGAUGGAGACGAACCUUUGGCUUUAGAUAUGGGUAGCAUGGGGAAAGGUCAAGUAUGGAUAAACGGGCAAAGCAUUGGAAGAUAUUGGACUGCUUAUGCCAAAGGUAAUUGCAGUGGGUGCAGUUACUCUGGGACGUUCCGAACUACAAAAUGCCAAUUUGGUUGUGGUCAACCAACUCAAAGAUGGUAAGGACAUCCUCAGCCUUUUCAUUCAGGUAUGAAGCAGGAUGGAAGAGUACCUAAAGGAAAAGAAUCUUGUGUUUCCAGGUACCAUGUUCCUCGGUCUUGGUUGAAGCCAACCCAAAAUCUAUUGGUACUUUUUGAGGAACUUGGUGGGGAUGCAUCAAAGAUUUCUUUCAUGAAGAGAUCUGUCACAACUGUAUGUGCUGAAGUCUCUGAGCAUCACCCAAACAUUAAGAAUUGGCAUAUUGAAAGUCAAGAAAGACCCGAGGAGAUGAGCAAGCCCAAGGUUCACCUGCAUUGUGCAUCUGGGCAAUCCAUUUCUGCUAUUAAAUUUGCCAGCUUUGGAACUCCAUCUGGGACUUGUGGGAAUUUCCAGAAAGGAACUUGUCAUGCUCCAACGUCACAAGCUGUCUUAGAGAAGGUACUCAAAAUGCUCCUCUCUGUUUUUAUAGUCCACUUUCACUAAGCUUCUAAAAUUUCCAUUUCAAUGUCAAAUUCUGAACUGAGUUAAAAACUAAAUCUUAAAAUUCAUAUAUAGAUUGGAUCCUCAUUUUCUCCCUCUUUUCCUUGUUGCCAGAAAUGCAUAGGACAGCAGAAGUGCUCGGUAGCAGUAUCAAGCAGUAACUUUGCAAACCCAUGUCCAAACAUGUUCAAGAAAUUGUCUGUGGAAGCUGUUUGUGCCCCUAGCACUACGAGUAAUGCCUGACCAAAUUCAAGGGUUUGACAUAAGGUCAGGAAAUCAAACUCCACAUAUCCAUUGCCUGCUGCAUUUGUUUUAACUGUGCAUAGCAGCAACUAAAGAAGCAAACAAUGUGAAAUGAAUACAAGUGUAGGAAAAAAGGACUACUUUAGUUAGUUUUGUGGCAUGUCACAUUCAUUUGUGUAGGCAAAGAAUUGUACUUUGACAGCUACUUGUUGCUGUAAGCAUUUAUCUUUAAUUCAGAGGGUGGCUUUCAUGGAAUAGUGGUGUUUGUGAGGUUCAGUUAACAAGUUUUUGUGGAAAUGUCCUGGUCCCUGCCUUAUUCUCCUUUCAUCAUUAUCAUAAAAGAAUUUCACAUAUAGAACACUUCCCAUUUGAAGUAACUGAUGGGGUUAACGAAUUGGAUUCUGAGGUGGGGCUGAAGUCACAUAAAAUAUGCAUAAAGUUUUAGCCUUUUUUGUGAGGCAAAUGGACACUUUGGGGGGUCCCCAUUAUUUUCUCUACCUAAGCACUGCCUAAAAAAAUGAGGUUGGAAUGCAAGAACUAGUUUAACAAUGACCCACUUGUUUUUGGAAAAUACAUUGGUGCAAGUUGCCCUGAUCCUGGAUCUCCAGAAACAACCAAGGAAUCCAAUAUUAAUGGUCCUUUGAGCACAGAAAGAUGUGGGAAAGGCCUAUUUUUUCAACACAGGCUUCAUUUAGAGCACAACAUUUUGCUAAUAGGACCACUCGAUCAUCUUCUACUUUGGUUCUGGCAGGUUUCUGCAAUUCAGAGGUAGAAUAAUUUGAUGAUAGAAAUGAGAAAUCCAAAAGAACACAUUACCAACCACUGGAAUCUGGAUAUUUUCCAUUAGUAGCCUUACACUUCACAAGGGUCUGCUUCAGCUCAUCUUUCUUUGUUGCAGUAACAUACUGGCUGGUAGCUGAUCAUCUGAAAACUAACCAACAUUGAGAUCUAUCAGUUAUUCUAAUAAUACAACACUGGAAAAUGAAGAAAAAUUAUCUAGUUCUGAAGGUAGAUCCUUCCCCAGUAAGUAAUAUCAAGACAGUAACUGAUGGAAUUCCUUUCUAGUAACUCCAUGUCGUGCAGAAAAAAAUGUUAGCAGUAGUGUUCGGGAAAUUACUUGAGCACAAAGUAUCCAAGCCAACAACACAACCAAAGAAUUAUUGCAUUAAAAGGGAUGCAAAUGGUGAUUGGAGGUAUCCUAGUUCUCAUUGCUUCAAUGCCCAUCUUUUUGGACAGAAGGAUGAUUUGGAAACCAUCCUUUGUCCUUUUCUAGUGCAAAAAGAAUGCACAUUUUGCCUCUGCCUCAUCUUAUGUGGCGCCUGCAAAAGUUGAGAUGCUAUCAUCACAUGGAAAUCAUGUACAGGUAUCUACUAAUGGUUUCCAUAUUCCAAAGGGAAUAAAUCCAUGAGUCAAUGACUUAUUACUUGGUCCUCAGAUAUAUAUAUAUAUAUAUGGAUAAUUAGUUUGAGGUUAACGCAACGCAAGAGAGGAAUCAGUCUGAACUUCUUCCUCUUUCUUCUUCAUUUUUUUCCCCAUCGAACUAAUUAUCCAUCCAUCUAAUCAUGUCCAGUAUUUCCCUUUGUUUGCAAGAAACUCGAUAGGGGAUGGAGCUAUUAUACUCAGUCAUCAAAAUUACAUAACAUGAAGAUUAACGGAGAAGCAUGUUGAAAAAUUGUUGCUUCAACAGCGAUGCCCAUUGCCCAGUCAUCUUCCUAAACGGCAUAUGACAUCUCUCAAAUAGACAUAUGCCCGUUUGAAAGGUCAAGUAGCCUUUUUUAAGAGACAUACACAUGCUUCAUUUCAGACAUUAACUUGUUAGAGAGAAAGAGACAUAGCCCUAAAAGAGCUUAGUUCAUAGAAGUUUGAAAGGUUAGGUUGAUUGUGGCCGUUGCCCCAUUUCCUUGCCAUCGCCACAACACUAGUUUGGGUGAUGACCCAGUUGGCAUUGUCAACCAUUCAGAUAUUGUCAUCUGGUAUAUAGGUUUUGUUUUAGAUGUAUGGUUAGGGGGGUUGUGAUUCCAAUUUACAAGGUGGUCAUUACCCUGCAUCAGAUCUCAUUUUCCAUACUUUAAUUCCAUUAUUUGUAUGUUUUAAUGAUAAAAAUUACAAGUGCUUUUUUACUUGAUUACCCCUCCUUUUCUAUGUUGCAAUUAAGCUAAAGUUGAAGCCUUAAAAACCUCAUGAUGAAUAUUAUUGACUUCUCUGCUAAUAAUUUUAAGCCUUUUAAUUUGACAUUUUUUUUAAAAAUUAUUCUUUUUUAUCUCUUCCUCUUUUUCUCGGUCUGGAGGAAAGAAUGUUGUAAAAAGUCGUGCAUUGUGCAUAGAAGAAGGGAAAUAAAUAUUCUAUGGUUCGUUAGUCAACAACAAAUGCUACUUCCCCUUUUUAAGUCAACAUACAGCCCCACUAGAUACGGCAGCUUUUAAUCAGCUGCCCUUGAUUUUUGUGGAUGACACAUGCCAUCCUAUCCGUCCAUUUACCAAAUCAGAGACCUCUUCAUUCCUCCCAAAAUGAUUCUUAAUUAUAAUUUUAUAAUACAAAAGUUUUCAAAAUGCAUUUUAUAUUUUUAAUUAUUUCUUUUGAUACUCCAAAAAAACAAAAAAAACUAAGACACAUCAAUUUCUUAAAAAGAAUAUUUUCCAUCGAAGCUUGUUAAAAAAUAUAUUUAAUUUUACAUUCUUAUAUUUAAAGUGGAAAUUAGACUUAGGUGUGAUUUUUUUUCUCAAAAUACUAGGAUUUAAGCUCGAUUGCUUGAAUAUAAUUCUUAAAUAAGUAUAAAUUUUUUUAUUUCCCUCACACGUAAAAUUGGAAAAAAUAAUUUUACAUAAUUCAAAAUACUUUGAUUUGUAACAAAUACACUUUUUAUAUAAAAAAAAAUAUAUAUUUAUUUCUGUCCAUUUUCUUUUGCUGGCUUACUGGAAGUAACCCAAGCGACUGGAACUGUGUAGAACCCAAACCCAACUCCACCGCCAUAACGUGUAAACAACGUUGUACGACGCUGUCUUAGCCUUUGAUCAGAUCACUGGUCGACGUGGAUCCACACCCAUCCUCCAAACAAACCACCCUCCCUUUCACUUUAAUUUCGAUCAUGCCCCCUCACGUGGCCCAAGUCAAUUCCAUUUUACGCACUUUCAACGCUGAAUGAAUCCCCAACCAUGUCCCGCGAAGCAGCGGAUAAUAAAUUUCCUCUAAAAUAAUAUAUAGAAAAUAAAAAAUAAAAAUAAAAAGCCAAUCUCUCUCUAUUUUUUCUCUCUCUUGAUUUGUCUUCGAGCGUGUGCAUGUGUGUUUGUAUUGUUCAACAGUUCAUGGCCAAAGCCCGGGCUCCCAGACGAACCCUAGACUCUUACACAAUCAAAUCUAUCAAUAAAACAAUUCGAGGUGAGCCAAAAUUUUCUCGGAAAUUUUUUUCAUUUGCUGGAAAAUUGUUUUAUUUUUUCGGAAAAUUUCCUCUAUCUUACGCCGCCCAAGGAGCCGACUCUUGCUAACAUGCGCCGUUCCCGUUUUGCAGCCGGCGACUGCGUUCUGAUGCGGCCGUCGGACUCGUCGAAGCCGUCGUACGUGGCAAAAGUGGAGAAGAUCGAAUCGGACGGCAGAGGAAGCGUGAAGGUGCACGUGCGAUGGUACUACCGUCCGGAGGAGUCGAUCGGCGGCAGGCGGCAAUUUCACGGAUCCAAGGAGGUGUUUCUGUCUGAUCACUACGAUGUGCAGAGCGCCGAUACGAUCGAGGGGAAGUGUACGGUUCAUACUUUCAAGAGCUACACUAAGCUUGAUGCUGUUGGGAACGACGAUUUCUUCUGUCGUUUUGAGUACAAUUCGUCUACAGGAGCAUUCAAUCCCGAUAGAGUGGCUGUGUACGUUUCGAAUUUUCCGGUAUUUUGAUCAAUUUUUGGUUCAAUUAAUAUGAUCUAGUUUCUUUUAUAUAUAUAUAACAAAUUUAGGCAUGCUAAUUAUUUGUGUGUCCAAUAGAUUUGUUAGUUUUUACGCCUGGGUUUGGGGGAAUUUCAGAUUCAUUCUGUAUGAUCUCAUCAGUGUUUCCAGAAAAUUUGAUUUUUCUGUAUUGAUGCUAUGCAAUCUAUGAUGAAUUCUCUGUAUGUAGUGAAUAUGGAAAAUAUAUUAGUUCUUAGUACUUUUAGUGUUACUAUUUGUUCAAUCACAAGGAUAUGAUUAAUAUUUUCUCCUUAAGAAUCCAUAUUUGUAUCUUUAUCAGGCUUGUUAUGUGAGUUUGAUGCAAUUAAGUUGAGAAUUUAAGAUAAUGAGGAAGCUGGGGCUUUAAUUUCCACGUUGUCAUGAAUUAGGAUGAACUCCCUACUUCAAGCCUGUUUUUCUCCUUUUCUGGAGGGGUUAGUUCUGUGAUUUGAUAUUUUAACUGAAGAAAAUGGGUUAUAUUUAAGAUUUCAGUUCCAAUGGGUAGUUGAGGGUUGUGAUUUUGAAUUUAUUUCAUUCCAUUUUAUUUGGGCUUUUCUGGUUUAUCACUCGAUUUUCCGUGGCAGGUAUUGUAAAUGCGAGAUGCCUUACAACCCCGAUGACCUAAUGGUGCAGUGUGAGGGGUGCACUGAUUGGUGAGUUAUUUGCUUUGGACCUGUUUAAGAUUUUUUGUCUCAGGUUUGGUGGACAGAUUCUUUGUAACUUGAUUUGGAUUGUUCCUCAGAAUAUACUUUUGAAUUAUAGGGUGAAUAUUAGAGUUUCAAUGAGGAUAUGUAUUGUGCUAAGCUGGUAUGUGAUUAUUUAUGUACUUGUAUUGGUGGACAUAAACUUAUUGACAAGAUAGUGACAAUUUGUCACUCAGUGACAAUGUCAUGAAACUUGCUAGUUGAAGUGGACAUUGAACAUUAAUUAAAAAGAUGAAGAUGGUUCAUAUUAAUCACCAACUAGCUUCAUAUUUCUAAGUUCUAACAAUUUAUACUAUCUAAGUGGUUGCCUAUAAGUUUAGUGCACUAAAAAAUAGUUCACUAGUGAUUCAAAUGCCUAUUACUACACUCUUACAAAGAGAAUUUUUCACUGGGACUUCUAAAUACACUGCUAUUACCUUUUUAUUGUGAAAUGGAGUUUCAGAAAAGAUUUCAUUUCUAAAUAGUUCGCCAUAAGUUGCUAAACCUUUAGUUUAGAGAUUCAAAGAGCAGUUCAAUUACUUCAAAGUAGUUAGUCAUGAGAUACCAACCUGUUAAUUUGAAAAAAUUUAAAGAUAAAAGAUAAAAGAAAAAAGAAAAAAGAUAAGAAGAAUAAGCUUAAGAGUAAAUUCUCUAGUAUGACCUUACUUUUUGGUCUAUCUAAAAGAUGUAUGGUCUUAGUAUUAGGGCUUUUGCAAUGCCUUGGAUGUUAAGCCCAUGUAUACCUUAAAUUUAAGAAGUCUUUUUGGUUGAGCCUCAAGUUGUUCUCCUUGAGCCAAAUUUUGGGAUGAGUGUCAAGGCAUAAGAUUCACAUGCCUUUUGUAAGUGUGAUUGCAUUUAUGUCUAAUUUUAAAGGGUCCAAUAGCCAACAAGUAUCCUAUAAAAAAAACUUCCAUUUCUGGGGUAAAUUGUGAAUUAUGCACUUAGACCAAAGCAAUCUUCAGCAUGCUACUUUUGAUUCAGGUUUCAUCCUGCUUGUAUAGACAUGACUCCAGAGGAAGCUAAAAGACUCGAGCACUUUUUCUGCCAAAAUUGUUCUUCUGAAGAUCAAAAGAAGUUGCUGAAUUCUCAUAAUGCAUCAAGACACUCUGACGCAAAGGUACUUCAUUCACUGAAAUGAUGAACAAAUUUGUUUUUUUUUUUUUUUUUUUUUUUUUUCUUUUUUGGUUUUUUUGAUCUAGUGUAGCUGUUUUUAAAUUGAAGGUGACAUUCAUGCCAUUUGGAAAAUGAGGUUUCAUCUGAUAUGUCAAUUAUUAAUCUGCCUGUAGAAUAAACUGAAGUAGUAAUCCCUGUCAUCCAUGAAAUCACCAUUGGCCUGGGAAAUUCUCAAUCAGAGCAGAAAGCUGGCUAGUGGUUAAAGGUUGUAGAGAACUGCAUUUUACAAAAAUUGCAAAGAAAGUUAUGGUUUAUAAUAUAUGAGAAAAUAGUGUGAAAAUGGGAUGAAUUUAAGUAAUCUUUUUUUUUUUUGGAUAGGUGGGAUGAAUUUAAAUAAUCUCAGACUCUUAUCCCCGAAAAAAAAGAACAUUCUUAAGAAAAUAUUUUUUUUUGAAAAAAAACCAUGUCUAACACGCAACCACGAAGAAAAACUUUUAACCAUUUAUAUGGUCUACACCCAAGUGGAUCUCUUCAACAAUAAAUUAAUUCUUUAAAUAAAUUAGUUGACAACCUUUCCAAUUUUCAAUAGCUAUCUGAAAACCCUUGUUUCUACAAGUAGUACUAACCAAGUCACCAAUUUCUUAAAUCUUGAUUUUGAUUUAGAAGAAAUGACAAAAAUUAGUAUUAGAACUGACUGUGAAUACCACUGACUUUCCUAGAAUGACCUCAGAGAGUUCCAAACUUGCCUUAGUCUCAAAUGUAGUGUCUUUGUGCCUGCCGAAACACAAUCCAAUUGAUAUUGAAAGAAAGGCUAAAAAAAGGUUUGAUGGGAAGCUCUGUUCUCUAACCAUCCAAUUGGUCAUAGUCUGCCAAGAGAGGGUGAAGCACCUGAUGGUUUUCUAAUAGGGAAUACGACCAAGUGCCCUAUCAUAAUCCCUAAUGAUGCCAAACCCACCUUGUCUAAAAGAGGGGAUAUUUGCGCUGCUGGAUACAAACCCAGAAAAAGAUGGAAACUGGUUUGGCCCGAGCUGUAGAUGCCAACCCCCCACAUCAUGCUUGACACUGAGAAAAUGUUAAUAGUGAUGAGAGAUUCUCAUUGCUGGUGGAAGAAAGGCCAAAAGGAAGUUUGAUGAGGAUCCCUGUUCUCUAACCAUGCAAUCGGUGAUAGUCUGCCAAGAGGGUUGCUAGCAGAAGAAAAGGCCAAAAGAGGGUGUAUAGGGAGCCCUGUCUCUAUCCAGGCAGUUGGUCAUAUCUGCCUGAAGGUGUUGACGCAGAGAGAUGGUGUUCCAUUCAUUCUCCAUAUUGCUAAUUUUUUCCGUCUAUUCUCCCGUGUUGCUUACUCUUUCCAUUUAUUCUGUGUUCUGUCUAGAUUCAUUCUCUAAAUUGAUGCCACUUUCUAAUGAUUCUAUAUUCCCAACUCUUUCUGUCUAGUUUUUGAAUCAUUUUUUUCUCGAUUAAAGAUUACAGCCGGCUCUUCUCUGUUUUCAUAAUAAGAGAAAAUUCAAAUUCUAAUACACUGAAGCUUGCUCUCACCAAUUCUCUAUGAUCUAGAGAGGGGCUUAUUGUAUUUUUUUUUUAAAUUAAAAAAAGGAUGAUCAUGUGAUGUGGAGACUGAUAAUUUUGCAAUUGGUAGGUUUUUGAAGGUGCAAAAUGGCAUUGUUUUGGGCAUUGUAGAAGUUUUCAGGGGGGGAAUUAUACUUUCAUAUUUGUCUGCCUGCAUUAAGUAACUUCACUUUAUGUUGAAAAUUGAUUUGGAUGUUGCUAAUAUUUUUUAAAAGCUUGGUUUGCUAAUGAGAUGGAGAAAAAAAAAAUCAAAAUUUUGGCUUUACAAUUUUUAUUCUUUUUAGUUUGUCAAACGAUCAUAGUUAUUGGCCAUUGCAAGAUAGUGGCAACGCCACACAGAAAUGCUAUUUUUUAUUUACAGAAAAUAGCAAAUGUGACCAGAAAAGCUAAAAUUUUGUUUUGAGAAAUGUCAGAUAGCUGAAUUGGAUCAGUCACUCUCAAUAUCCAAGAUCUUGUUUGAGAUCUAAAUCAACAUCUAUUACUA